GCGAACAUACCAGUACUAAUGCACCGGAUCCCAUCAAAACUCCGCAGUUAAGCGCGCUUGGGCGAGAGUAGUACUAGGAUGGGUGAGCCCCUGGGAAUUGCUCGUGUUGCACCCC
Non-coding RNA from Ilex paraguariensis (yerba mate), 115 nucleotides. NCBI's taxonomy places the organism in Eukaryota, Viridiplantae, Streptophyta, Magnoliopsida, Aquifoliales, Aquifoliaceae. The record is from the annotation of a GenBank genome assembly.